GCCACUCGAAAACGUUGUCCAUUAUGAUUUCAUUGAAUCUAAUAAAUGUGUAAUAAAUCUAUAAAUAAACUGUUUAAAAACGUAGUACGGGAAGUUACUAAUGGAGUAAACGAUGGAAAAUUAACGACUGUACGCCGCUUUGAUCUUCCAAUAUUAAGUAAUAUUCACUAAUGUACUGCUCAAUUAGAAGGCGAAAAUAGUUAAGGUCAUUGGAAGAUCAAAAAACCUACAAAAACUGGUUUCCUUUCGCCUGGAACGUCCUUCAACUAUUUCAUUGCGUAAUAAAGACGAAAAUCUCA
Molecule: long non-coding RNA, 299 nt
Organism: Pieris brassicae (large cabbage white)
Lineage: Eukaryota; Metazoa; Arthropoda; Insecta; Lepidoptera; Pieridae
Exons: 2
Source: RefSeq, a predicted model, not a curated record